RNAcentral lists this ribosomal RNA (381 nucleotides) under uncultured eukaryote. Its description in RNAcentral is "SSU rRNA". It matches the Rfam family "Eukaryotic small subunit ribosomal RNA", at positions 587 to 972 of the family's 1831-position model. The record is from RNAcentral.
AGCUCCAAUAGCGUAUAUUAAAGUUGUUGUGAUUAAAAAGCUCGUAGUUGGAUCUCAGUUCGAGUCAGGCGGUCCACUUGCCAGUGGUUACUGCUUGACUGAACACUUUACCGAGUUUUGGUAUGGUGCUCUUCACCGAGUGUCAUAUCAGUUCGGUACGUUUACUUUGAAAAAAUUAGAGUGCUCAAAGCAGGCGUAACGCCCGAAUAAUGUUGCAUGGAAUAAUGGAAUAGGACCUCGGUUCUAUUUUGUUGGUCUUCGGAAUCUGAGGUAAUGAUUAAGAGGGACAGACGGGGGCAUUCGUAUUGCGGCGCUAGAGGUGAAAUUCUUGGACCGUCGCAAGACGAACUAAAGCGAAAGCAUUUGCCAAGAAUGUUUUCA